UAAUACGUAGGUGGCAAGCGUUGUCCGGAAUUAUUGGGCGUAAAGCGCGCGCAGGCGGUCUUUUAAGUCUGAUGUGAAAGCCCACGGCUCAACCGUGGAGGGUCAUUGGAAACUGGAAGACUUGAGUGCAGAAGAGGAGAGUGGAAUUCCACGUGUAGCGGUGAAAUGCGUAGAGAUGUGGAGGAACACCAGUGGCGAAGGCGACUCUCUGGUCUGUAACUGACGCUGAGGCGCGAAAGCGUGGGGAGCAAACAGGAUUAGAUACCCUGGUAGUCCACGCCGUAAACGAUGAGUGCUAAGUGUUAGGGGGUUUCCGCCCUUUAGUGCUGCAGCUAACGCAUUAAGCACUCCGCCUGGGGAGUACGACCGCAAGGUUGAA
Molecule: ribosomal RNA, 379 nt
Filed under: uncultured bacterium
Lineage: Bacteria
Description: bacterial SSU rRNA
Rfam family: Bacterial small subunit ribosomal RNA
Source: RNAcentral